CCUACGGGGGGCAGCAGUGGGGAAUAUUGCACAAUGGGGGAAACCCUGAUGCAGCGACGCCGCGUGAGCGAUGAAGUAUCUCGGUAUGUAAAGCUCUAUCAGCAGGGAAGAAAGUGACAGUACCUGACUAAGAAGCCCCGGCUAACUACGUGCCAGCAGCCGCGGUAAUACGUAGGGGGCAAGCGUUAUCCGGAUUCACUGGGCGUAAAGGGAGCGCAGGCGGCACGGCAAGUCUGGUGUGAAAACCCGGGGCUCAACCCCGGGACUGCAUUGGAAACUGCCGGGCUGGAGUGUCGGAGGGGUAA
Molecule: ribosomal RNA, 305 nt
Filed under: uncultured bacterium
Lineage: Bacteria
Description: bacterial SSU rRNA
Rfam family: Bacterial small subunit ribosomal RNA
Source: RNAcentral